This 391-nucleotide ribosomal RNA is filed under the name uncultured bacterium. Its description in RNAcentral is "bacterial SSU rRNA". It matches the Rfam family "Bacterial small subunit ribosomal RNA", at positions 505 to 898 of the family's 1533-position model. The record is from RNAcentral.
GUGUCAGCAGCCGCGGUAAUACGGAGGAUCCGAGCGUUAUCCGGAAUCAUUGGGUUUAAAGGGUCCGUAGGCGGACCGUUAAGUCAGGGGUGAAAUUCUGCGGCUCAACCGUAGAACUGCCCUUGAUACUGGCGGUCUUGAGUUAUAGUGAAGCAGCCAGAAUAUGUGGUGUAGCGGUGAAAUGCAUAGAUAUCACAUGGAAUACCGAUUGCGAAGGCAGGUUGCUAACUAUAUACUGACGCUGAUGGACGAAAGCGUGGGUAGCGAACAGGAUUAGAUACCCUGGUAGUCCACGCCGUAAACGAUGGAUACUAGCUGUCCGGCAGUAAUGCUGGGCGGCCCAGCGAAAGUGAUAAGUAUCCCACCUGGGGAGUACGUCCGCAAGGAUGAA